Molecule: ribosomal RNA, 482 nt
Filed under: uncultured bacterium
Lineage: Bacteria
Description: partial 16S ribosomal RNA
Rfam family: Bacterial small subunit ribosomal RNA
Source: RNAcentral
AUUGAACGCUGGCGGCAUGCCUUACACAUGCAAGUCGAACGGUAACAGGUCUUCGGAUGCUGACGAGUGGCGAACGGGUGAGUAAUACAUCGGAACGUGCCCGAUCGUGGGGGAUAACGCAGCGAAAGCUGUGCUAAUACCGCAUACGAUCUACGGAUGAAAGCGGGGGAUCGCAAGACCUCGCGCGGACGGAGCGGCCGAUGGCAGAUUAGGUAGUUGGUGGGAUAAAAGCUUACCAAGCCGACGAUCUGUAGCUGGUCUGAGAGGACGACCAGCCACACUGGGACUGAGCCACGGCCCAGACUCCUACGGGAGGCAGCAGUGGGGAAUUUUGGACAAUGGGCGCAAGCCUGAUCCAGCCAUGCCGCGUGCAGGAUGAAGGCCUUCGGGUUUUAAACUGCUUUUGUACGGAACGAAAAAGCUCUCUCUAAUACAGGGGGUGAAUGACGGUACCGUAAGAAUAAGCACCGGCUAACUACGUG